RNAcentral lists this long non-coding RNA (507 nucleotides) under Capra hircus (goat). Its description in RNAcentral is "lncRNA (ENSCHIG00000002822.1)". The record is from RNAcentral. Lineage: Eukaryota; Metazoa; Chordata; Mammalia; Artiodactyla; Bovidae.
CCAGCAGUCACUGUUGUUACCAGGUCAGGAGAUUUCCCAGGCUCAGGUGGCUAGACACUGAAAGAACGAAGGCCUGGACUCGGGCCUCCUCCCCUUCAAACCAGGGGUGUUUCGAUCACUCAUCAUACGAGGAUAGUUAGAAGGUGCCUAAGAAGUGGCAAAGAGAAUAAGAGAAUGAGAAGAUGGAGUACCCAGAAACCAUCACAGACAAGUCACCUGGAAGACAGGCAGGUUUCGCCUGCAUCUUCCCGGAUGACAGAGGGCAAGUUAAGCACACAGCAGUAACUCCUGAAGAGUCCCAGGCUCUCAUUUCAAGGUAAAUAUUAAUAAUCUCCAGACUCCUACUUCCCUUCCAGGGUUAGGCUCAGUCCCUCCCAGAAUCAUUUCUGGGGUUGCCUUGCUGGGCUGCAGUCAUGACGACUGAGGGAUCUAUUCCUAUCUCUGUCCUGAGGGUAUCCAGAGAUGAAAUCAGAGUCCCACCAGCCACUCCCUUAAUGGAACUUCAAC